CGGGGUCAGCGGCGGACGGGUGAGUAACGCGUGGGUACGUGCCUUCCGGUUCGGAAUAACCCUGGGAAACUAGGGCUAAUACCGGAUACGCCCUUAUGGGGAAAGGUUUACUGCCGGAAGAUCGGCCCGCGUCUGAUUAGCUAGUUGGUGGGGUAACGGCCUACCAAGGCGACGAUCAGUAGCUGGUCUGAGAGGAUGAUCAGCCACACUGGGACUGAGACACGGCCCAGACUCCUACGGGAGGCAGCAGUGGGGAAUAUUGGACAAUGGGCGCAAGCCUGAUCCAGCCAUGCCGCGUGAGUGAUGAAGGCCUUAGGGUUGUAAAGCUCUUUUAUCCGGGACGAUAAUGACGGUACCGGAGGAAUAAGCCCCGGCUAACUUCGUGCCAGCAGCCGCGGUAAUACGAAGGGGGCUAGCGUUGCUCGGAAUCACUGGGCGUAAAGGGCGCGUAGGCGGCGUUUUAAGUCGGGGGUGAAAGCCUGUGGCUCAACCACAGAAUGGCCUUCGAUACUGGGACGCUUGAGUAUGGUAGAGGUUGGUGGAACUGCGAGUGUAGAGGUGAAAUUCGUAGAUAUUCGCAAGAACACCGGUGGCGAAGGCGGCCAACUGGACCAUUACUGACG
This 623-nucleotide ribosomal RNA is filed under the name Methylobacterium sp. F21. Its description in RNAcentral is "bacterial SSU rRNA". It matches the Rfam family "Bacterial small subunit ribosomal RNA", at positions 87 to 745 of the family's 1533-position model. Lineage: Bacteria; Pseudomonadati; Pseudomonadota; Alphaproteobacteria; Hyphomicrobiales; Methylobacteriaceae. The record is from RNAcentral.